Molecule: ribosomal RNA, 1360 nt
Filed under: Paralulworthia posidoniae
Lineage: Eukaryota; Fungi; Ascomycota; Sordariomycetes; Lulworthiales; Lulworthiaceae
Description: partial small subunit ribosomal RNA
Rfam family: Eukaryotic small subunit ribosomal RNA
Source: RNAcentral
CUGCGAAUGGCUCAUUAAAUCAGUUAUCGUUUACUUGAUAGACCCAUACUACUUGGAUAACCGUGGUAUUCUAGAGCUAAUACAUGCGAAAAACCGCGACUUCGGAAGCGGUGUAUUUAUUAGAUUAAAGACCAAUGCCCUUCGGGGCUGACUGGUGAUUCAUGAUAACUUCACGAAUCGCACGGCCUUGCGCCGGCGAUGGCUCAUUCAAAUUUCUGCCCUAUCAACUUUCGACUUUAGUGUAGUGGACUAAAGUGGUUGCAACGGGUAACGGAGGGUUAGGGCUCGACCCCGGAGAAGGAGCCUGAGAGACGGCUACUACAUCCAAGGAAGGCAGCAGGCGCGCAAAUUACCCAAUCCCGACUCGGGGAGGUAGUGACAAUAAAUACUGAUACAGGGCUCUUUUGGGUCUUGUAAUUGGAAUGAGUACAAUUUAAAUCUCUUAACGAGGAACAAUUGGAGGGCAAGUCUGGUGGACAAAUCCAGUCCCGUGCUGGCGCCAGCAAGAGCGGGGGGCCCCUGCGGGCCUUCUUUCCCGCUAGUCGAGCACCCGUUCCAUGACGGGAGGGUGCCGGCGAGACAACCUGGAUCGGGGGAGGCUAAGAGGCGCCGCCAGGCGUCUUACGUUGAUCCCGAGCAGAGCACCCGAGGAGCGAUCUUCGGGCUGCCUGUGUAGAGCGCGCAAAGGUGUCGGUCGCUCUCCCCCUCGGGGGAGGCGGCUUAAGGGACGUGCCAUCCGCCUCGAAAGAGGAUUUCCUAUCUCCAGCGCCCGUCACGCUAAGGAUAGGAAGCUGCCGGCUUGCACCGGCAGUGGGAGAUCAAUACGGCCAGCAGCCGCGGUAAUUCCAGCUCCAAUAGCGUAUAUUAAAGUUGUUGUGGUUAAAAAGCUCGUAGUUGAACCUGGGCCUCGCGCAGACCGGUCCGCCUCACCGCGUGCACUGGUCCUGCCGGGGCUUUCACUAGGGGAUUCGCAUGUCCUUCACUGGGCGUGUGCGGAACCUGGACUUUUACUGUGAAAAAAUUAGAGUGUUCAAAGCAGGCCUAUGCUCGAAUACAUUAGCAUGGAAUAAUAGAAUAGGACGUGUGGUUCUAUUUUGUUGGUUAUGGGACCGCCGUAAUGAUUAAUAGGGACAGUCGGGGGCAUCAGUAUUCAAUAGUCAGAGGUGAAAUUCUUGGAUUUAUUGAAGACUAACUACUGCGAAAGCAUUUGCCAAGGAUGUUUUCAUUAAUCAGGAACGAAAGUUAGGGGAUCGAAGACGAUCAGAUACCGUAGUAGUCUUAACCAUAAACUAUGCCGACUAGGGAUCGGGCGAUGUUACUUUUUGACUCGCUCGGCACCUUACUGAGAAAUCAAAGUCUG